UCUAAUAUGGCAGAAAAUUAUGCAAUGAAUUUAAGAUUCAUUAAUAAAUAUUAUAUAUUUUUUUAGAA
RNAcentral lists this transfer RNA (68 nucleotides) under Signoretia aureola. RNAcentral's name for it is "tRNA-Leu". The record is from RNAcentral. Lineage: Eukaryota; Metazoa; Arthropoda; Insecta; Hemiptera; Cicadellidae.